This 380-nucleotide ribosomal RNA is filed under the name uncultured bacterium. RNAcentral describes it as "bacterial SSU rRNA". It matches the Rfam family "Bacterial small subunit ribosomal RNA", at positions 28 to 412 of the family's 1533-position model. The record is from RNAcentral.
GACGAACGCUGGCGGCGUGCUUAACACAUGCAAGUCGAACGAUGAACCACUUCGGUGGGGAUUAGUGGCGAACGGGUGAGUAACACGUGGGCAAUCUGCCCUGCACUCUGGGACAAGCCCUGGAAACGGGGUCUAAUACCGGAUAAUACUCCCGCACUCAUGUGUGGGGGUUAAAAGCUCCGGCGGUGCAGGAUGAGCCCGCGGCCUAUCAGCUUGUUGGUGAGGUAAUGGCUCACCAAGGCGACGACGGGUAGCCGGCCUGAGAGGGCGACCGGCCACACUGGGACUGAGACACGGCCCAGACUCCUACGGGAGGCAGCAGUGGGGAAUAUUGCACAAUGGGCGAAAGCCUGAUGCAGCGACGCCGCGUGAGGGAUGAC